RNAcentral lists this long non-coding RNA (854 nucleotides) under Medicago truncatula (barrel medic). RNAcentral's name for it is "long non-coding RNA (MTRU_LNC003427)". Lineage: Eukaryota; Viridiplantae; Streptophyta; Magnoliopsida; Fabales; Fabaceae. The record is from RNAcentral.
UUUAUUAGAAAGACAAUUGUCACAUAUUGUAUUCCAAGAAAGAUGAAUAUUUGUGAUGGCUAGCUACUCUAUUUAUAGUACACAUUCGACUUAAAAUCUAAGCAAGUAUAUUCCAAGAAUAUUCCACGAUAGAUUGUGCACCAAAAUAGAAUAGCUCAGAAUCCAAGCAAAAGCAGCAAAAGGUGUUCUGGAGGGUGGCACGGCCGUGCCAAUCCUAGCACGGGCCGUGCCAAGCUUCUGACUUUGGGGGAGAUAUAUUUUGUCUCCAAAUCUUCGUAUUUUCAUACCGAAUCAACUCCAAAUCCCUUUCUUUUGCUCAAAGACUCAAUCAAUCAAAUAUUCGUUCCUAAAAUAUAACAAUAUGCAAUUGUAGUAAAAUAGUUCAAGAAAUGAAAUAAUAUUAAUAUAAAAUAAACCUAAAUCUAAAUAAAACUAAACUAAAUAACAUAUUAAAAUAGAUAAUAAAUGACUCAUCAGUGAGAAGAUCUCAUUGUAGUCGAUUCCCUUCACUUGAGUGAAACCCUUGGCCACAAGUCUUGCUUUGUACCUAGGACCUUCAACACCCGAAAUACCUUCCUUUUUCUUGAAGAUCCACUUGCAUCAAACUACCCUUUGGUGUUUAGGUAGCUUCACAAGUUUCCAAGUUUAGUUCUUUUCCAAUGAAUCCAUCUCUUCAUUCACCACGUUUAAACAAUACUUGCUCUCUUUGCUCUCAAAUGCCUCUUUGAAGUUUCUAGGCUCCGAGUCUUGCACAUCUUCAGCCGCAUUUAGAGCAAAACACACCAAGUCCGCAUAACCAUAUCUACUAGGAGCCGUAAUGGUCCUCCUUUCUCUAUCUCUAGCCAAAAGAUAAU